This 744-nucleotide ribosomal RNA is filed under the name uncultured bacterium. Its description in RNAcentral is "bacterial SSU rRNA". It matches the Rfam family "Bacterial small subunit ribosomal RNA", at positions 59 to 821 of the family's 1533-position model. The record is from RNAcentral.
CAGUCUAUGAGGAAUUUAGNUUGCUAAUGGACUCAUGGCGGACGGGUGAGUAACGCGUAAAGAACUUGCCCUUUAGACUGGGAUAACAGAGGGAAACUUCUGAUAAUACUGGAUAAGUUAGUAUAUCGCAUGAUAUGCAAAUGAAAGCUACGGCACUAAAGGAGAGCUUUGCGUCCUAUUAGCUAGUUGGUAAGGUAAGAGCUUACCAAGGCGAUGAUAGGUAGCCGGCCUGAGAGGGUGGACGGCCACAAGGGGACUGAGAUACGGCCCUUACUCCUACGGGAGGCAGCAGUGGGGAAUAUUGGACAAUGGAGGGAACUCUGAUCCAGCAAUUCUGUGUGUGUGAAGAAGGUUUUAGGACUGUAAAACACUUUUAGUAGGGAAGAAAAAAAUGACGGUACCUACAGAAGAAGCAACGGCUAAAUACGUGCCAGCAGCCGCGGUAAUACGUAUGUUGCGAGCGUUAUCCGGAAUUAUUGGGCUUAAAGGGCAUCUAGGCGGUAAGACAAGUUGAAGGUGAAAACCUGUGGCUCAACCAUAGGCUUGCCUACAAAACUGUUGAACUAGAGUACUGGAAAGGUGGGUGGAACUACACGAGUAGAGGUGAAAUUCGUAGAUAUGUGUAGGAAUGCCGAUGAUGAAGAUAACUCACUGGACAGAAACUGACGCUGAAGUGCGAAAGCUAGGGGAGCAAACAGGAUUAGAUACCCUGGUAGUCCUAGCUGUAAACGAUGAUCACUGGGU